Molecule: ribosomal RNA, 512 nt
Filed under: uncultured bacterium
Lineage: Bacteria
Description: bacterial SSU rRNA
Rfam family: Bacterial small subunit ribosomal RNA
Source: RNAcentral
GAUCAUGGCUCAGGAUGAACGCUAGCGAUAGGCCUAACACAUGCAAGUCGAGGGGCAGCACAUGAGUAGCAAUACGAUGGUGGCGACCGGCGCACGGGUGAGUAACACGUAUGCAACCUACCUUUAACAGGGGAAUAACCCGUUGAAAAACGGACUAAUACUCCAUGACACAGGGGUCCCGCAUGGGAAUAUUUGUUAAAGAUUUAUCGGUUGAAGAUGGGCAUGCGUUCCAUUAGCUUGUUGGUGAGGUAACGGCUCACCAAGGCCACGAUGGAUAGGGGAACUGAGAGGUUUAUCCCCCACACUGGAACUGAGACACGGUCCAGACUCCUACGGGAGGCAGCAGUGAGGAAUAUUGGUCAAUGGAGGCAACUCUGAACCAGCCAAGUCGCGUGAAGGAUGAAGGUCUUAUGGAUUGUAAACUUCUUUUGCAAGGGAAUAAAGUGGGGGACGUGUCCUCCUUUGCAUGUACCUUGCGAAUAAGGAUCGGCUAACUCCGUGCCAGCCGCCGC